This 521-nucleotide ribosomal RNA is filed under the name uncultured bacterium. RNAcentral describes it as "bacterial SSU rRNA". It matches the Rfam family "Bacterial small subunit ribosomal RNA", at positions 988 to 1509 of the family's 1533-position model. The record is from RNAcentral.
GUCCGGAACUGCCCAGAGAUGGCGGUGCCUUCGGGAAUCGGAACACAGGUGCUGCAUGGCUGUCGUCAGCUCGUGUCGUGAGAUGUUGGGUUAAGUCCCGCAACGAGCGCAACCCUUGUCCUUAGUUGCCAGCACGUAAUGGUGGGAACUCUAAGGAGACUGCCGGUGACAAACCGGAGGAAGGUGGGGAUGACGUCAAGUCACCAUGGCCCUUACGGCCAGGGCUACACACGUACUACAAUGGGAGGUACAGAGGGAAGCAAUGCCGCGAGGCGGAGCCAAUCCCAGAAAACCUCUCUCAGUCCGGAUCGCAGUCUGCAACUCGACUGCGUGAAGUCGGAAUCGCUAGUAAUCGCGAAUCAGCAUUGUCGCGGUGAAUACGUUCCCGGGCCUUGUACACACCGCCCGUCACACCAUGGGAGUUGGUUGCUCCAGAAGCAGGUAGCCUAACCGCAAGGAGGGCGCUUGCCACGGAGUGGUCAAUGACUGGGGUGAAGUCGUAACAAGGUAGGCGUAGCGAG